Molecule: ribosomal RNA, 670 nt
Filed under: uncultured bacterium
Lineage: Bacteria
Description: bacterial SSU rRNA
Rfam family: Bacterial small subunit ribosomal RNA
Source: RNAcentral
UUCAGGCCUAACACAUGCAAGUCGAACGCACUCUUCGGAGCGAGUGGCAGACGGGUGAGUAACGCGUGGGAACCUACCCAGUAGUACGGAAUAACUCAGGGAAACUUGUGCUAAUACCGUAUACGCCCUUCGGGGGAAAGAUUUAUCGCUAUUGGAUGGGCCCGCGUUGGAUUAGCUUGUUGGUGAGGUAACGGCUCACCAAGGCUACGAUCCAUAGCUGGUCUGAGAGGAUGAUCAGCCACACUGGGACUGAGACACGGCCCAGACUCCUACGGGAGGCAGCAGUGGGGAAUAUUGGACAAUGGGGGAAACCCUGAUCCAGCCAUGCCGCGUGAGUGAAGAAGGCCCUAGGGUUGUAAAGCUCUUUCGCCAGGGAAGAUAAUGACGGUACCUGGUAAAGAAGCCCCGGCUAACUUCGUGCCAGCAGCCGCGGUAAUACGAAGGGGGCUAGCGUUGUUCGGAAUUACUGGGCGUAAAGCGCACGUAGGCGGACUGUUAAGUUAGAGGUGAAAUCCCGGGGCUCAACCCCGGAACUGCCUUUUGAUACUGGGCAGUCUAGAGUCCGGAAGAAGGUGAGUGGAAAUUCCAAGUGUAGAAGGUGAAAAUUCGUAAAAUAUUUCGGAAGGAACCACCAGAAGGCGAAAGGGCGGGCUUCACUGGGUCCCGGGUA